RNAcentral lists this ribosomal RNA (435 nucleotides) under uncultured bacterium. RNAcentral describes it as "partial 16S ribosomal RNA". It matches the Rfam family "Bacterial small subunit ribosomal RNA", at positions 28 to 507 of the family's 1533-position model. The record is from RNAcentral.
GAUGAACGCUGGCGGUAUGCUUAACACAUGCAAGUCGAACGGACUCUUCGGGGUUAGUGGCGGACGGGUGAGUAACGCGUGAGAAUCUGGCUUUGGGUUCGGGACAACCACUGGAAACGGUGGCUAAUACCGGAUGUGCUGAGAGGUAAAAGAAGAGUUGGCUGAAGAUGAGCUCGCGUCUGAUUAGCUAGUUGGUGAGGUAAAGGCGCACCAAGGCAGCGAUCAGUUGCUGGCCUGAGAGGAUGAACAGCCACACGGGGACUGAGACACAGCAGAGACACCUACGGGAGGCAGGAGGGGAGAAUUUUCCGAAAUGGGCGAGUGUGUGACGGAGCAAUACCGCGUGUGAAAAGAAGGAUCUUGGGUUGUAAACCUCUUUUCUUAGAGAAGAACAAAAUGACGGUACCUAAGGAAUAAGCACCGGCUAACUCCGUG